Molecule: ribosomal RNA, 440 nt
Filed under: uncultured bacterium
Lineage: Bacteria
Description: partial 16S ribosomal RNA
Rfam family: Bacterial small subunit ribosomal RNA
Source: RNAcentral
UCUACGGGUGGCAGCAGUGGGGAAUAUUGCACAAUGGGGGAAACCCUGAUGCAGCGACGCCGCGUGAGUGAAGAAGGCCUUCGUGAUGUAAAGCUCUAUCAGCAGGGAAGAAAAUGACGGUACCUGAGUAAGAAGCCCCGGCUCACUACGUGUCAGCAGCCGCGGUAAUACGUAGGGGGCAAGCGUUAUCCGGAUUUACUGGGUGUAAAGGGAGCGUAGACGGGAGUGGAAGUCUGGGGUGAAAGGCGGGGGCUCAACCCCCGGACUGCUAUGGAAACUGUAAGGCUGGAGUGUAGGAGAGGUAAGUGGAAUUCCUAGUGUAGCGGUGAAAUGCGUAGAUAUUAGGAGGAACACCAGUGGCGAAGGCGGCUUACUGGACUGUAACUGACGUUGAGGCGCGAAAGCGUGGGGAGCAAACAGGAUUAGAUACCCCAGUAGUC